ACUUCCAGGGGCCCUGAGUUUCCACAAGGAGCCAAGAGGAACAAUGGAGCUUCUCUCUGCCAGACAGCUGGGAGGCGGCCUCAACCUCAGCAAGGAACUCUCUCCCCACGACACCGCCUUAACGCAGGAUACCAGCGGGGAGCAGAUCAGGCGAAGGUGCCAUCUCUGACUUCCGGAUGACCCAUCCAGGAGACUAAAAGAACCAGGGCCCACCCAGCUUACAGCUCAAAGCAACUCCCAGACAGACAGCUUAGUGGCCGUGCAUGGGGACACCUGGCCUGCCCAUACGGCCCCACCUUGGAAGGUUUGGAAAGCUCCAGAUCGUUUGAGUUUUAUGGACUUGUUGUUUCUUCCAAAAAACUGUUUCUACAAAGCAGAGACAGAUAACAUUGGUAAAAGAUGCUGAGAGUUAAGAUACCAUCAUCUACUCUGACUUUGGCAACUGGCUCAUGAGGCAAUACUAACAAACCUCAGAGGACAGCAACAGCGUCACAGCUUUAAGAAGGGAUGGAGUUAAACAUGAUCAAUCGAGCCAAG
This is a long non-coding RNA of Peromyscus maniculatus bairdii (prairie deer mouse), 537 nucleotides long. RefSeq lists it as uncharacterized. The record is from RefSeq and is a predicted model, not a curated record. NCBI's taxonomy places the organism in Eukaryota, Metazoa, Chordata, Mammalia, Rodentia, Cricetidae.